This 529-nucleotide ribosomal RNA is filed under the name uncultured bacterium. Its description in RNAcentral is "partial 16S ribosomal RNA". It matches the Rfam family "Bacterial small subunit ribosomal RNA", at positions 355 to 900 of the family's 1533-position model. The record is from RNAcentral.
UAGGGAAUCUUCCACAAUGGACGCAAGUCUGAUGGAGCAACGCCGCGUGAGUGAAGAAGGUCUUCGGAUUGUAAAGCUCUGUCUUUUGGGACGAUAAUGACGGUACCAAAGGAGGAAGCCACGGCUAACUACGUGCCAGCAGCCGCGGUAAUACGUAGGUGGCGAGCGUUGUCCGGAUUUACUGGGCGUAAAGGGUGCGUAGGCGGAUGUUUAAGUGAGAUGUGAAAUACCCGGGCUUAACUUGGGUGCUGCAUUUCAAACUGGAUAUCUAGAGUGCAGGAGAGGAGAAUGGAAUUCCUAGUGUAGCGGUGAAAUGCGUAGAGAUUAGGAAGAACACCAGUGGCGAAGGCGAUUCUCUGGGCUGUAACUGACGCUGAGGCACGAAAGCGUGGGUAGCAAACAGGAUUAGAUACCCUGGUAGUCCACGCCGUAAACGAUGAGUACUAGGUGUAGGAGGUAUCGACCCCUUCUGUGCCGCAGUAAACACAUUAAGUACUCCGCCUGGGAAGUACGAUCGCAAGAUUAAAAC